UACGUAGGGUGCGAGCGUUGUCCGGAAUUAUUGGGCGUAAAGAGCUCGUAGGCGGUGUGUCACGUCGAUCGUGAAAACUUACAGCUUAACUGUGAGCGUGCGGUCGAUACGGGCAUCACUGGAGUUCGGCAGGGGAGACUGGAAUUCCUGGUGUAGCGGUGAAAUGCGCAGAUAUCAGGAGGAACACCGGUGGCGAAGGCGGGUCUCUGGGCCGAUACUGACGCUGAGGAGCGAAAGCGUGGGGAGCGAACAGG
Molecule: ribosomal RNA, 254 nt
Filed under: uncultured bacterium
Lineage: Bacteria
Also listed under: 1 other name
Description: partial 16S ribosomal RNA
Rfam family: Bacterial small subunit ribosomal RNA
Source: RNAcentral